GGGGACUUAGCUCAGUUGGCUAGAGCGCCUGCUUUGCACGCAGGAGGUCAGGAGUUCGACUCUCCUAGUCUCCACCA
Molecule: transfer RNA, 77 nt
Filed under: Patescibacteria group bacterium
Lineage: Bacteria
Description: tRNA-Ala
Rfam family: tRNA
About the family: Transfer RNA (tRNA) molecules are approximately 80 nucleotides in length.
Source: RNAcentral